Molecule: long non-coding RNA, 1225 nt
Filed under: Parus major (Great Tit)
Lineage: Eukaryota; Metazoa; Chordata; Aves; Passeriformes; Paridae
Description: lncRNA (ENSPMJG00000015677.1)
Source: RNAcentral
UGUGAUCCCAAACCUCUGUUUUCCCCAGGAAAGCCUCGGCAGCCGCUCAGCCCCGCGCUCCCGCCGCGUCCAGCUGUGCGACCGCGCCCUUCGCUCCUGCGUGGCCGAGCUGGCCCGGCCCGGGGGGCUACCGGCCCACGGCGCCCAGCUGCUGACCCUGGCCCAGGAGGCCACCAACACCUACCUGAGCCUGGUCCCCGACCCCCCUCACCUUUACCUGGAGAAAAUCCUGUUCCACGUGCUGCGCAACGCCGCGGGAUGGGCCGGGAUCCGCACCUGGAGCGCGGCCGAGCUGCUGCGGGAGCGGCUGCGGCGCUGCCGCCUCCGCGACGCCGACUGGGCCGGGGUGACCCGCGGCGCCUUCGGGCUGCUGUGGCGAGCGGCGGCCGAGCUGGCCGGGCCAGAGAGGCCUCGAGAGGAGGGCAGGGCGGUGCUGAGCGCCCGGCUGCGCUCCCUGCGCUUCCUGCUGCUCUUGGAAUCGGAGCCGCCGGAACGCUCGGCUCGGGAAUCUUUCCGCCCGCCGUUCUUCGCCUCGUGCACCGCCCAGCACGCCGCCGCCGCCGCCGCGCUCUACGAGGCCCAGAGGGCUCCCUGCCCGCUUUUCCUGGCCAGGCAGCUGCGGGAAUGGCUGCUGGAAGCGCUGCGGGACGAGGCUCCGCGGCCUCCGGAUCCCGGGAGCUCCCUGUGCUGCCUGGAGCUCACCCUGGAGUGCUGCCGCCGCCUCUGCAAAGCCCGGCGGCACCGCGAGGCUCUGGACCUGCUGGGGGAUUCCAGAGGGUUUUUGGGAGCUGGGAAUUCUCUGGGAGCCCCUCUGGAGCUGCUGGAGGCCGGGAUCCAGCUCAGCUGGGCGCUGCUCAAAGGCGGGGCCGGAGUCCGAGCCGCGGGCUCGGCGUUGUGCCGGGCGGGAGCGGCGCUGGCGGCGGAACCUUCCGGAAGGAUUCUCCGGGUGAUGCUGGAGUGCUCCCAGUUUGUGCUGGCGCAGCUCGGGGAGGCGCUGAGGAAGAGCCAGGAGCUGCCCCUCGGCCUCCAGGAGCUUCCCGGGAUUUGUGCCUUCUCCCAGGGCCACGGGCGGGCGCUGCGGCAGCUGCUGGCCCAGGUCCCUCCUGACUCUGUCCAGGAGCAGGUGAUGGUGAAGCAGCUGCUGUUCCACAGCCUCCAGCUCUUCUCCAACGCCAUCCACGAAAUAUUCCAGCGCUCCCAGGUACCCCAGGGAACGGAUCCGGGU